AUUGAACGCUGGCGGAAUGCUUUACACAUGCAAGUCGAACGGCAGCACGGGGCAACCUGGUGGCGAGUGGCGAACGGGUGAGUAAUACAUCGGAACGUGCCCAAUCGUGGGGGAUAACGUAGCGAAAGUUACGCUAAUACCGCAUACGAUCUACGGAUGAAAGCGGGGGAUCGCAAGACCUCGCGCGAAUGGAGCGGCCGAUGUCAGAUUAGGUAGUUGGUGGGGUAAAGGCUCACCAAGCCAACGAUCUGUAGCUGGUCUGAGAGGACGACCAGCCACACUGGAACUGAGACACGGUCCAGACUCCUACGGGAGGCAGCAGUGGGGAAUCUUGCGCAAUGGGCGAAAGCCUGACGCAGCCAUGCCGCGUGAAUGAUGAAGGUCUUAGGAUUGUAAAAUUCUUUCACCGGGGACGAUAAUGACGGUACCCGGAGAAGAAGCCCCGGCUAACUUCGUGCCAGCAGCCGCGGUAAU
This 474-nucleotide ribosomal RNA is filed under the name uncultured bacterium. Its description in RNAcentral is "bacterial SSU rRNA". It matches the Rfam family "Bacterial small subunit ribosomal RNA", at positions 30 to 524 of the family's 1533-position model. The record is from RNAcentral.